This 720-nucleotide ribosomal RNA is filed under the name Triticum aestivum (bread wheat). RNAcentral's name for it is "partial small subunit ribosomal RNA". Lineage: Eukaryota; Viridiplantae; Streptophyta; Magnoliopsida; Poales; Poaceae. The record is from RNAcentral.
AUGGCUGGAUUCGCUCAUGCACUGAGGCCGGAUAAGUUUACCAGUGUGCACUUUAAGAGGUGGCAGGUGAAGACCACGCUCUGGCUUACUGCUCUGAAAGUUUUCCACGCUAGUGUUGGUGCUCCAGAGGGAAUGACUGACGAAGAUCGGAGAAAAUUCCAGGAAGCCAAUACUAUGUUUGUGGGAUGCAUUCUGAGUGUUCUUGCUGACCGUUUGUGUGAUGUGUACAUGCACAUAAAUGACGGAAAGAUUCCGUGGGAUGCACUGAAUGCAAAAUUCAGUGCAACAGAUGCAGGCAGUGAACUGUACAUCAUGGAGAGUUUUCAUGACUACAAGAUGGUGAAUAACCGUUCUGUGGUUGAACAAGCUCAUGAGAUACAGUGCAUUGUGAAGGAACUUGAACUCCGUAAAUGUGUUCUACCCGACAAAUUCGUGGCUGGGUGCAUGAUUGCAAAGUUGCCUCCUUCAUGGAGGAAUUUCGCCACAACUCUGAAGCAUAAGAGACAGGAGAUAUCAGUUGAAAAUCUGAUUGCAUCUCUUGAUGUUGAAGAAAAAGCUCGGGCUAAAGAUACUACUAAAAAAGGAGGUGAGGUUCAGCCUACUGCUAACAUGGUGCAGAGGUACCCACAGAACAAGAACAAAGGGAAGAACAAACCUGUUUUCAACAAGCCUACCAAGACUACUACCUUCAGAAGAAGAAGUUCAACAAGGCUGAGCUAG